This 254-nucleotide ribosomal RNA is filed under the name uncultured bacterium. RNAcentral's name for it is "partial 16S ribosomal RNA". It matches the Rfam family "Bacterial small subunit ribosomal RNA", at positions 524 to 776 of the family's 1533-position model. The record is from RNAcentral.
GACAGAGGAUGCAAGCGUUAUCCGGAAUGAUUGGGCGUAAAGGGCGCGUAGGCGGAUAUGUAAGUCAGAUGUGAAAUUCCUGGGCUCAACCUAGGAGCUGCAUUUGAAACUACAUUGUCUAGAGGAUAGGCGGAGAAAACAGAAUUCCACAAGUAGCGGUGAAAUGCGUAGAUAUGUGGAAGAAUACCGGUGGCGAAAGCGGUUUUCUAGCUUAUUCCUGACGCUGGAGUGCGAAAGCAUGGGGAGCGAACGGG